UCGGCCCCUUAACCCAGCCACCCAGUCACCCUGGUAACACAUCUGUCUUAAUAAAGUUCACUCCGAAUCUACUCUCUAUCAAGAAGCUUUGAAGGAAUGGAGGAGAAAAGGAUGGAUAUCUCUUCCCUUUCCCAAGAAGAUGACUGACAAACUAAAGCAGUUUUCAUGCAUAGAUUCACCGAAGGUGAAAAAAAUAAAAAGAAAUCUGUAUUUGUCUCAUUAAAACGUGAGCUCCUAGGGAUCUGAGGAUGAGUUUGAUAAGCCCUCUAACAUGCCUAGUUGAUGACCCCUGCGUCCCAUCUGCAAUCUGCGUGCAUCCUUCUGUGUAUGCCCAAAGUUUCCUACCGUAAGCACAUGUGACUCUAUCUGAGGGCCUUCUAGAGCAUUCUUGGCAUGCACAUGGGGGAGACCAGAGGGGCCACACAGUGGAUAGUUUGUGAGCGGUCCUCAGCAGUGACAGACAGUAGUUAGUGGAUAGAUAUUGCAGCUCCUUGGCCAGUGGGUGGAACAUUUCUAAGAUAUGUUCCAUACUGUGUCCACUACAGAGGUCCCCAGUGGAACUGAACCAAUUUAUGCCCAACACAGUUAACUUGAUCAUAAAGGUACACUAAACUUGUUGGCUUCCUUCCUCUCUUUCCUUUGUCACUUCUCAGGAUCAUCUCCUAAAUAAACACUCGGAAUCACCUUCCAAAUAAAUUACUUGCACAAAAAUCCUGGUUGAACCUCUUGGGUUACAGCAGAGGAGGCAAAAUGGCUUGCUGAAUUAUACAAGUUCGUGGCUGACAGGACACUGCUAUUUCAGUCUUCAUGAUCUGACAUUCCAUGCGGGCUUAAAGAAAAAACAAAAACAGGAUUGGAGAGCACCCUUCACAACAGCCAAAAGGUGAAAGUAAUGCAAAUAUCCAUCAAGGUAUGAGUGGAUAAACUGGAAUAUUCCACACAAUGGAAUAUUACCCAGGCCUAAAAAGGAGAAGUGCAAUUGACCCUUGAACCACUGGGGUUAGGAGCCCCGCCCUCUACCCCUCCCAGGUGAAAAUCCGGGUAUAACUUUCGACCUACGUUUUUUUUUAAUCCACCAAUAGGCGGGCUGGGACUGGGGCGACGGGUUAGGCCGGGAAAGCAGGGUUGGCCGGCCCCCCCCUUCCCUCGCGCCCUGGUGGGCCUGCAGGCGCUGUACAGCUGCCCCAUCUACCUGGAGGUGCAGCACCAGUUGAUGAGCGUCCGGGAGCUGCGGCGACACUGGCACAAAACAAAAUUACGACACCUCUUGAAACGGAAGGCGUCUUCGAUUAGAUAAAAUGCGACAUCCCCGUGAAACUGAGGCUCAGAAAACUGAUUUGUUCAAGGCCACACAACCUGCCCGAACACACCGAGAGGCCGACAUGUUUUCAGAUAUGCAAAUACGUCUCCCAACAGUGAAAUAUUUGACAACUGAGAUAUGAAGUGAUUGUUUAAUUCUUAAUUCCUGGUUGAUUUAUGCAAAAUAUGAACGGAAAGACGUGGAGCGACAGGCACUCUCUUCCUCCCAAUUUGCCAAAAAAGAAAGGCAUCUGAAGGGAUUAAAAAUAGACGUAUCCAGUGGAGGCAACAUUUUGGAAUGUGUCGGAUGCCAGCUGGGGGAGUUGAAGUGAAAUCUCAGAAUCUGCUAUGCACUCGAAUUUCAGUGAGGAGUACAUAUGUUUGGCAUUAAAAACCUAUUGGAAAAGUCAUUGUUUUCUGAAUAUCUUUAAUAUACUUUUCUGUGUUGCAUCUAGCACCCAAAGAACUCCUUCUGGGUAUUUUUACUGAAAUGCCAGCACCGGAUUUACAAAUUAUGGGGCCCAGGGCAAAAGCAAAAGUGGGGGCUCCCCUGACGCCCGAUAGCUGGCAACCUAUCGACUAAUUGCUGCCAGGACGAAAUAUCACUGGAUAAUGUGUAUUUGCACCACCUCUGAGGACCCUGUAUUUCAUUCUGUUCAAGAAGGAUUACCACUUGCUACAUUGGCCCUUGGGAGCCCUGUGGUCCCAUGGCCCAUUCCUACCUUAUCCUCCAGACCGCACCCGGAAGGGGGGCGGUGAACGUGGACCUUUGUAAAUGAGGACGAAAAAAUGCGGUGUUUAUGACCCUCUCUUGCUCUUUCUUUCUUUGCUUUGGUAUAAGAGGUGCGGUCGUGGGGGAAGUAGAGUCGCCUCCAGGAGUAUUCUUAGUGAAUUUCCCCCGCUGGAUUCUAGGAUGUGGCCCAAGCUCCCUCCGUGACUAAUGCUUUCCAUUUAUUCAUGCUUCAUGUCACAGCGGGCAGGGCUGCUGCAGGACAGGUCGGAAUUACGGAAUUAUUAAUCCCGUUUUACAAAGGAGGAAGCUGAAGCUCUGGGGAUUUGGCACUUUGUUAGUGGUGGAGAUUGCCGGAGACUAACCCAGUUUUAGGGCUGAGAAUUCAGCGACUGAUUUCAGCACUCUGUCGCACAGUCUUGAUGCUUUUUCAUUGAAAGAGGCCGCGUGUGUGCGUUCAGCAGAACAACCUGGGGGUGUAUCUGUAAGCCCUGCAGACAACUGGGGUUCCCAAGCCAUCUGGAAGAUUUUAACUUCUCUAGCCUUUGCGGGGAGGCCUUGUUUUAUUUAAAUAUAUAUUUGUAAUGUUUAUUUAUUUUUGAUUGAGAGAGAGAGAGAGAGAG
Felis catus (domestic cat) is the source of this 2652-nucleotide long non-coding RNA. RefSeq lists it as uncharacterized. The record is from RefSeq and is a predicted model, not a curated record. The transcript is spliced from 3 exons. Lineage: Eukaryota; Metazoa; Chordata; Mammalia; Carnivora; Felidae.